This 468-nucleotide ribosomal RNA is filed under the name uncultured Magnetospirillum sp. Its description in RNAcentral is "bacterial SSU rRNA". It matches the Rfam family "Bacterial small subunit ribosomal RNA", at positions 85 to 587 of the family's 1533-position model. The record is from RNAcentral. Lineage: Bacteria; Pseudomonadati; Pseudomonadota; Alphaproteobacteria; Rhodospirillales; Rhodospirillaceae.
UUCGGCCAUAGUGGCGCACGGGUGAGUAACGCGUGGGAACCUGCCCAGCAGUGGGGAAUAACUUCGGGAAACCGGGGCUAAUACCGCAUACGCCCUUAGGGGGAAAGAUUUAUUGCUGUUGGAGGGGCCCGCGUCCGAUUAGUUUGUUGGUGGGGUAAUGGCCUACCAAGACUACGAUCGGUAGCUGGUCUGAGAGGAUGAUCAGCCACACUGGGACUGAGACACGGCCCAGACUCCUACGGGAGGCAGCAGUGGGGAAUAUUGGACAAUGGGCGCAAGCCUGAUCCAGCAAUGCCGCGUGAGUGAUGAAGGCCUUAGGGUUGUAAAGCUCUUUCGGCGGGGACGAUGAUGACGGUACCCGCAAAAAGAAGCCCCGGCUAACUUCGUGCCAGCAGCCGCGGUAAUACGAAGGGGGCUAGCGUUGUUCGGAAUUACUGGGCGUAAAGAGCACGUAGGCGGUUCGUUAAA